CCAUCAACUGCGAAAAGACUACUCACACACGUCAAACUGUCCCCCCCGACGCACCGCCCCCCGACGCAACCGCGUCCGCGUCGGACCACUGCCGCCGAAACCCUACACGCCCCCGCCACGCCGCGGCAUGGCGGAUCCGCCGCCCGUGGCCGCCUCCGCCUCGCCGGCGCAGCCCGACCAGCUCGCCGCCGCGGCCUCCGUGUCCACCCCGCAGAACCCCAACCCCCUCCUCUCCCCUCAAAUUCCCCCGUCCCCGACCGUCUCCGACCUCUCCGCGCACAUCUCGUCCCCGCAGCAGCUCGACCAGGCGGCUGCGGCAGCUGACGCUUCGGGCGGCGGAGGAUCCAUGGAUUACCUCCCGCGCCCGCCGCAGCUGCAGGCGCCUUCGCCCACGCAGGCAGGGGUCGGCGCCGCGGGGUUUGCCCAGAUCCCCCGCUCGGGGUCGACCUCACGCCUCUCCACGGCCACCCAGCUCCAGCAGUACGCGGCUAGGAUGUACGGCGGGCAGAUGAGCUUCUCGGGUGGCGGAGGGCUCGUGGGCCAGCAGCAGCUGGCGGGGCGCGCCCCCAUGCUUGGGCAGGGCCAGCUGGGGAUGCUGCAAGGCCAGGGUAACGCGGCAUCUGCGGCACAUUUUGGGCUUCAGUCGCAGAUGUUGGCGCAGGCUAGGCAAAAGGUCAUGGCACAAAACACCCAAUUGAAUAAUGCUAAUACAGCUCAAGUGCUGCAAGGGAUGCAGCCCAUGGGUGUCAUGGGUGCUAUGGGGAUGAACCAGACGAGACCGAAUGUAACUAUUCCCUAUGGUGCUCAACAAAGGUUUGCCCAGGCACAAAUGAGGCCACAAGCAUCUCAACAACCUGCACUGUCUCCACAGAAGGUACCUGGUCAAGGUUUGUCGAGGACAGCAUCAAUUACCGCAUUAAAUUCACAACUGUCUGGAUCAUCACAAAAUGGACAGAUGGUGGCAAUGUCUAUGCCUCAGCAACAGCAACAGCAGCAGCAAUGGUUGAAGCAAAUGCAACCAUCCAUGGGCUCACCACUUUCCCCACAGCAACAAUAUCAGAACCAGCAGAGGCUCCUGUUGAUGCAGCAUCUUCAGCAGAAGACAGGAUUGAACCAACAACAACUUCUCCAAAUCCAACAACAGCAUCCACAUCUCAAUGUCCAACAGCUGAUUAAGCAGCAACAAUUUCUGAAGCAGUUUCAGCAGCAGCAACCGCUACAAUCUCCUCGUGUUUUAGCAUCUGGUUCACAGAAAUCUGCGAAUCUUACAGGCUCGCAGCCGGGUACACCAUUGUCAGGUGGAACUAUGACUGGUGGAAGUGGAAGUCAGGGAGCUGAAGGAACUAGCCAACUUCUUGGGAAAAGGAAAAUACAAGAUCUGGUUGCACAGGUAGAUCCCUUAGGCAAGGUUGACCCAGAAGUGGAGGAUUUACUUCUAGAAAUCGCUGAUGACUUCAUUGGCUCGGUGACUGCAUUUGCGUGUACCUUGGCAAAGCACAGGAAAUCAUCAGUUGUCGAAGCCAAGGAUGUGUUGCUGCACUUAGGUCAAAAAAAAUUGGAAUUUAUCUAUUCCUGGUUUCUCACGGGGGGAUAAGAAUCCUCAAAGAAAUUCUGCAAAGCAACUGGUAGAUCCCCAACAUUCAGAAAGUGAUGUUACUGGUAUCAGAGGCACAAGCAAUAAACUUGGUGCUAAUAACUCGGUUGGAAAUCAUCAAAUACGACCUCCGAUGGCAGAACCUUCAGCAAUGCCAACAAUGGGCCCUCUAUCAAAAGCCCCUCGCUUCUAGUGGUUAUGCUUCUCUUCCCUAUCGAAGGAAAAAUUCCUUUUCAGGACAAUCUACCUGGAAAACAACCCGUAGGCUCUAACUCAAGGAUUGCUAGCAAGUGGAAGCACAAUAAAUCCACGAGCAUCUGUGGCAAACUGCAGAUGCUUGUCUUACAGUUACAGGAAAGCAGUUGCUGACUUACCAAUCCUCUACAUGGGGUCAUAUGUAACUUUAUUUUAUUUUAUUUUAUUUUUGUGCCCGUAAAUGCCCCCAUCCGUUGUAUAUAAAUGUUUUUUUUUUUGGCAAUGGGGCAUUAUCGUCACCAGUUUUGAUGUUGCUAGGUAGGUGAACAAAUACUAAAGUGGAUGCAACUUAUAUAAUUUAAUGAAAUGUAAGAUUGAUGUCAUUUUUCGUUA
This is an RNA transcript of Zea mays, 2182 nucleotides long. RefSeq lists it as uncharacterized. The record is from RefSeq and is marked provisional. The transcript has 8 exons. Lineage: Eukaryota; Viridiplantae; Streptophyta; Magnoliopsida; Poales; Poaceae.